CUUCCUCUCUUCAAUUUGACCUAUCUCUUCAUUCUAAACAUACACAUCUCCCCCCACCUAUCCACAAAUACUACCAAUACAUUCUCAAAUUUUCAUCCACACCAGAAAAACCCUUCGAAUGAGCAACACACAAACAC
Long non-coding RNA from Octopus sinensis (East Asian common octopus), 137 nucleotides. RefSeq lists it as uncharacterized. The record is from RefSeq and is a predicted model, not a curated record. Lineage: Eukaryota; Metazoa; Mollusca; Cephalopoda; Octopoda; Octopodidae. The transcript has 3 exons.